AUUGAACGCUGGCGGCAUGCUUUACACAUGCAAGUCGAACGGCAGCGCGGGCUUCGGCCUGGCGGCGAGUGGCGAACGGGUGAGUAAUGCAUCGGAACGUGCCCAGUAGUGGGGGAUAGCCCGGCGAAAGCCGGAUUAAUACCGCAUACGACCUGAGGGUGAAAGCGGGGGACCGAAAGGCCUCGCGCUAUUGGAGCGGCCGAUGUCGGAUUAGCUAGUUGGUGGGGUAAAGGCUUCCAAGGCGACGAUCCGUAGCUGGUCUGAGAGGACGACCAGCCACACUGGGACUGAGACACGGCCCAGACUCCUACGGGAGGCAGCAGUGGGGAAUUUUGGACAAUGGGGGCAACCCUGAUCCAGCCAUGCCGCGUGCGGGAAGAAGGCCUUCGGGUUGUAAACCGCUUUUGUUCGGGAAGAAAUCCUCUGGGCUAAUACCCCGGGGGGAUGACGGUACCGGAAGAAUAAGCACCGGCUAACUACGUG
This 483-nucleotide ribosomal RNA is filed under the name uncultured bacterium. Its description in RNAcentral is "partial 16S ribosomal RNA". It matches the Rfam family "Bacterial small subunit ribosomal RNA", at positions 28 to 507 of the family's 1533-position model. The record is from RNAcentral.